Molecule: long non-coding RNA, 1570 nt
Organism: Gadus macrocephalus (Pacific cod)
Lineage: Eukaryota; Metazoa; Chordata; Actinopteri; Gadiformes; Gadidae
Exons: 2
Source: RefSeq, a predicted model, not a curated record
ACUAGUUUUUCUCUCUUUAGUGCAGUUAAUGAAAGGUUCUGAAAUACGGCAUACCCAUGUAGCUAAUACUAAGGAAUAAAAUGUAUACAAAAUCUGUCUGGCACGUUUUAUGAAGAAAACGUUUCCAAAAAGUAUCGGACAUAUGACCCACUAUGUUCUGCUCCAUGUAUCCAAUGUUGACAACGUGACAUGACAUGGCUAAGCUACCAACAUAAACAAGAGGAGCUAGGAAAGGAAAUUAACUGCGUGUUCAAGUUCAGAAUGGGGCAAACGUGUGCCUACACUACACACAGCACUACAAAAAUCGUCAAGAUUGUAUUUGGUGCUGCUUAGUGUGAGAGAGAGCGAGAGAGACAGAGAGAGAGGCCUGAUUCACAAAUUAACAAAUGCCAGUGACAGUAAAGGUGUUGGCAAGCUGUAACAAAUAUGCAUUAGCAACCUUUGCUGGUUUAAGUGAAUUCACCAUCCUCUUCAGGGUAACUAGGCUUGGAGGUUUGGAGAGCGAAAGAGAAGAGCAAAUGAUUGGGAGUAGGAGAAGGGAGGUAAGGAUGAUAGUAGAAUCUCAUGUUAGCCAGGCCUGCCUCAAAAUUGGCUGUGUCGCACACACACACUUGUGUAUGUCACCAUGGGUAAAUCUUUCACAUGCACUGUAGGCCUACGAAGUGCGCAACCAUUCUCAGCACUCCAUUUUAGGAACUAUCAAUGUUGUACAUUGUAACAACAAGCCUGCAUGAAGUUUUAACUUGUCUCUCAUGAUGUUAGUGCUGCUUGUGUUAUUUCACAGUCGUCAUGAGCAAGAGGAAGCAAGAGGGUUGCAGAGACAUUCGGCAAUGUUUUGCCUCGUCUCAGAAAAGAAGCAAAGUAACUAAAGAGGGUUGACACACAACUCUACACAGCAGCGUUGCAGUUGCUAAUAUAGCAAUAUAAUAAUUAUUAAGUCAAGUUUCAUUCAAGGUUACAAAACAUUGUAUAAUGUAUGUAUUCAUAGAUUAAUCCAUAACUACCGUAAUCAGAAAACAUUUAGGUUAUGUCCUUGACAUGUCUAAUUCUUUAACAGUGCAUCAUUCAAUACGGCUAAUGGUUUCACAAUGAGAUUAGCUCAGUGCGCUCUCUCAUGAAACUCAUCUAUGUACUUAUUAAACAAGUGGAUGAAAAUAUCAGAAAAUCUAUAUUUUCUGAGGGGUAACAAAAGUUUUGGGGUGACUUCUAUUUAGGUCCAUGAGAUAGAUGCACCUGGGUGGGUUUUACUCAGCAUUGGCAAAUGUGAUGGUUAUGCAAUAAAAAAUGUAAUGGAAGUAAGAACUGGCUGGAUUUUGUGUCCUUGUUGUGGUGGUGCAGGUGUUUGUUUGUGUAUGUUUUGUAAAAAAGACAAAACAUCAAUGAAUGUAAUGUGGAAAAAAAAAAGGACUGGAUUGGUUGAAAUAUUGAGGAGCACAAAAUGUUAUAUUUAAUUUAAAAAGUAAAGGAAAACAGAGCUCUGAAGUAUAUGUGUGUCAUCCUUUUCCUAAUUUCAAGUCUUCCACACUCCCAGACUGCUUGGUCACAUCCAGUAUUAAAGUGUUUUAAACAU